AUUGAACGCUGGCGGCAGGCCUAACACAUGCAAGUCGAGCGGAUGAAGGGAGCUUGCUCCUGGAUUCAGCGGCGGACGGGUGAGUAAUGCCUAGGAAUCUGCCUGGUAGUGGGGGCUAACGUCCGGAAACGGGCGCUAAUACCGCAUACGUCCUGAGGGAGAAAGUGGGGGAUCUUCGGACCUCACGCUAUCAGAUGAGCCUAGGUCGGAUUAGCUAGUUGGUUGGGUAAAGGCCUACCAAGGCGACGAUCCGUAACUGGUCUGAGAGGAUGAUCAGUCACACUGGAACUGAGACACGGUCCAGACUCCUACGGGAGGCAGCAGUGGGGAAUAUUGGACAAUGGGCGAAAGCCUGAUCCAGCCAUGCCGCGUGUGUGAAGAAGGUCUUCGGAUUGUAAAGCACUUUUAGUUGGGAGGAAGGGCAGUAAGUUAAUACCUUGCUGUUUUGACGGUACCAACAGAAUAAGCACCGGCUAACUUCGUG
This 484-nucleotide ribosomal RNA is filed under the name uncultured bacterium. Its description in RNAcentral is "partial 16S ribosomal RNA". It matches the Rfam family "Bacterial small subunit ribosomal RNA", at positions 30 to 507 of the family's 1533-position model. The record is from RNAcentral.